Molecule: ribosomal RNA, 253 nt
Filed under: uncultured bacterium
Lineage: Bacteria
Description: partial 16S ribosomal RNA
Rfam family: Bacterial small subunit ribosomal RNA
Source: RNAcentral
UACGUAGGGUGCGAGCGUUAAUCGGAAUUACUGGGCGUAAAGCGUGCGCAGGCGGCUAUGCAAGACAGGUGUGAAAUCCCCGGGCUCAACCUGGGAACUGCAUUUGUGACUGCAUGGCUAGAGUACGGUAGAGGGGGAUGGAAUUCCGCGUGUAGCAGUGAAAUGCGUAGAUAUGCGGAGGAACACCGAUGGCGAAGGCAAUCCCCUGGACCUGUACUGACGCUCAUGCACGAAAGCGUGGGGAGCAAACAGG